RNAcentral lists this ribosomal RNA (252 nucleotides) under uncultured bacterium. Its description in RNAcentral is "partial 16S ribosomal RNA". It matches the Rfam family "Bacterial small subunit ribosomal RNA", at positions 524 to 776 of the family's 1533-position model. The record is from RNAcentral.
UACGUAGGGCGCAAGCGUUAUCCGGAAUUAUUGGGCGUAAAGAGCUCGUAGGCGGUUUGUCGCGUCUGCCGUGAAAGUCCGGGGCUCAACUCCGGAUCUGCGGUGGUACGGGCAGACUAGAGUGAUGUAGGGGAGACUGGAAUUCCUGGUGUAGCGGUGAAAUGCGCAGAUAUCAGGAGGAACACCGAUGGCGAAGGCAGGUCUCUGGGCCAUUACUGACGCUAAGGAGCGAAAGCGUGGGGAGCGAACAGG